GACGAACGCUGGCGGCGUGCUUAACACAUGCAAGUCGAACGGAAAGGCGCCUUUGGGGGUACUCGAGUGGCGGACGGGGGAGUAACACGAAAGUAACCUGCACCUGACUUCGGGACAACUUCAGGAAACUGGGGCUAAUACCGGAUAGGAAUACUUGCUGCAUGGGGGGGGUUGGAAAGCUUAGGCGGGUCUGGGUGGACUUGCGGCGUAUCGGCUUGCUGGUGGGGCAGUGGCUUACCAAGGCGUUGACGGGUGGCCGCGCUGUGGAGGCGACCGGCCACCCUGGGACUUAGAGACGGCCCCGACACGGACGGGUGGGCGAUGUGGGGAAUCUUGCACAAUGGGCGCCGGCCGGAUGCAGAAACGCUGCGUGCGGUAUGACGGCCUUCGGGUUGAAAACCGCUUUCGGCAGGGGCGAAGCUUGUGGUGACGGUACCUGCAGAAGAAGCACCGGCUAACUACGUG
RNAcentral lists this ribosomal RNA (465 nucleotides) under uncultured bacterium. Its description in RNAcentral is "partial 16S ribosomal RNA". It matches the Rfam family "Bacterial small subunit ribosomal RNA", at positions 28 to 507 of the family's 1533-position model. The record is from RNAcentral.